CUCAGUCAGGUUCUACCACUGAUAACCUUAGGACUCAGUACAGGCUUAAGGUGAAUCUCUAUUGUAUUAACCAUGACACCUCAGGAAACCAACAAUGAAGUGACCAAAUUAGGGACUACCUACUACACGGUGAUGGAGAGGGCCCUCUUAACACCCCGUGAAAAAUACAGCGAGCCUAUCACCGAUAGCAUGAACAUUGGAUGGCAUAUCAACAAGGAGAACACAGCAGAGGCUUCAGUUCAAAGGAAAUUCGGAAGGCUGGUCACUGAUGUUACCAGUUUCUCGAGCAAUUUUCCCAUGUGCCGCCAGCAUAGUCCUCCCCCAAGGAAGACCACCGCCGAUCACACACGCCCCGUCAUGGGGUGGGCCCCCAAAACCAGCACAGACUGGAGGACAGCAGACCCCAAAGCACCAGCCCCACCAGCUACCCAUUACAAUAUGAUGGAGAGGGCCCGCUUAACGCCCCAUGAAAAAUACACCCAGCCUAUCACCAUGAACAUGACAUAUGGA
This is a long non-coding RNA of Gouania willdenowi (blunt-snouted clingfish), 510 nucleotides long. Lineage: Eukaryota; Metazoa; Chordata; Actinopteri; Blenniiformes; Gobiesocidae. The record is from Ensembl.